GGGUCAGUAGGUUGGUCGUGCCUGCGGUACGUACUGGUCUCACUGAUUCCUCCUUCCUGAAGAACCGUAAUGCCAUUAAUUUGGUGUUGCGGGGAAACAGGACUGUUACUUUGAAAAAAUUAGAGUGUUUAAAGCAAGCUAACGCUUGAAUACAUUAGCAUGGAAUAAUGAAAUAGGACGAUCGAUCCUAUUUUGUUGGUUUCUAGGAUUGACGUA
RNAcentral lists this ribosomal RNA (216 nucleotides) under Glomeromycotina sp. RNAcentral's name for it is "partial small subunit ribosomal RNA". The stretch from base 40 to 216 matches the Rfam family "Eukaryotic small subunit ribosomal RNA", at positions 686 to 864 of the family's 1831-position model. Lineage: Eukaryota; Fungi; Glomeromycota. The record is from RNAcentral.